Biomphalaria glabrata is the source of this 4045-nucleotide long non-coding RNA. RefSeq lists it as uncharacterized. The record is from RefSeq and is a predicted model, not a curated record. The transcript is spliced from 8 exons. NCBI's taxonomy places the organism in Eukaryota, Metazoa, Mollusca, Gastropoda, Planorbidae.
GUAAGAUUUGUUUGAUUUUUAUUAGUUACUGUUCGUUAAAAAAAUUAAUUGUUAUAAAUAAACUUUAAGUAAACAAAUUCACAAAUUCAACAAAUUUAGAGACGCAAGCCAUGGGAGCAUUUCUUGGAAAGUGGGUGCUUAUCUCCACUUUCUCCCCCGGCAUUGACAGUCCUUUGGAACCCCCUUUAAGUAAACAAAUUCACAAUAUAUUUUCACUUUUAUUUUGGUUGAAAACCAAUUUUAUAACAACAAAAAAGAUUCUUUCAAUAUUGUUUCAUUUUUUUAAAUUUCUCAGGCUGCUCAACAGCUGUUCAAUUUAGUAUUCAAAGCAAUGCUGUGGUCUGCACCUCCAAUGCUGCUGAAGAAAUAGAGAUUGCGAACAGUACAGUACAGAAGAAAACCAUGUUUAUGACUCAGUAAUAUAUACAGGAUAUCAGACCAUCCAGCCUGAAACUUCGGAGAGCCUAACUGAAAGCAUCCCCACCAGUAUUGCUGACCAAACUAGUGUUUGUGAUUUCAAAUUUUUUAUUUGACCAUUCCUGUUCCAGCCCAAGACUUCAGAGGGCCUAACUAUAACUAUUAAUAGAACCUCCACCCGUAUUGCUGACCAAACUGAAACUGAUCCAGUUUAUAUUAAUAUGGCUUGCCAAACUAAUGUUUGAGCUCUCUAUUUUUUUUUUGUUUGACAACACCAGAUCCAGCCCAAAUCUUCAGAGUGCCUUAUUGAAAGCAUCUAUAAAAUACCUACAAACAAUGCUGUCCGAAUUUUCCAGCCCAAGACUUCAGAGAGUCAAACUGCAACUAUUAGUAGAACCUCUACCUGUGUUGCUGACCAAACUACUGUCAAUGAAAGGAAUAAAUGAAAACAUUUGAGCAGCCUUAAACAUACUGAAAUUUUAUUCUACAAAAAUGUAACUUCCUUCAGAAUGAAAAAAAAACAAGUUUUGGGCAAUUAUAUGGAAAAAAAAAACAAGUUUGGGACAAUUUUUAAAAAAUGUCUGAAUCAGGUCUUUUUGAAUGAUUGUUGUGUUUUUUUAAUUUUAAAAUAAUUUUUGUGUGUGUUUUAGAUCUAUAUGUUAUCACUGUAAAAUUGAGUCGUUUAAUUUCAUAUGCAUAAGUCUUGUUAAGUUGUUCAGUAUUUCUUAGAGAUAUUUCCUUUUGAUACCAUCAUAAGCGAUUUAAGUUGAUGUACUAGUACAUUGUUUUCUUGACAUUUUUUUUAGUAAGUAUUUAUGUUAUGAGUGCUGCUUUCAAUCUGUUAGUAUUACUUCUUCCAAAAUUCUUGAUAUUGGUUAGUCUAAUUGUGAAUUCAGGUGUUUUCCUCCAUUUUUUUUAGCUCUGUUGUAAUUUUGGUCCUCUCCUGGUGCUUCUAAUUUUUUAUUUCUGAUGUUUAAAUUAGAGUUGGUGAGUUUAUAGUGUUGGUAGGUUUAUUGUGUUGGUGGCUGUUCAUAUUUUCCUUUGUCUCCAUCUUGUUUUAUUUAGGAACUCCUCAAAGUAUUCAGCCCAUUUGUCAAUGACCCUUCUGUUUUUUUUGUGACGAGGACACCAUUAUAGUUCUCAUACAUGUGUGAUCCGCUUGUAAUCCAUUCUUGUCAUCCCUUAUUUUCAUGCCCAUUCCUCUCGCAUCAAGGUUCUCAAUGAGUGCUCUUUGUUUUUUUUUGAUUGCCUCAUUUUUAUUCUUUCUGACAGAUUUUGUAACUCUUCGCCUUGCUUCCUUGUACUGCUUUCUGGUUUCUUUCUUUAGCAUUAUUUGUCUGUUCAAUAUGCCUGCAUUCUAUAUGUCAGGCUCUCCUUUUCUUUUGCUUAAAUCCAACCAUGUCAUCUGCUUUACUUUUAAUAGCAUGUUGUUGUUUUUUUAUUGCUCAUUUGUUAUAAUUAGGAUUACCCACAGGCUAUGUCUGUUGUUGUGCUUCAACAAUUUAUCUUUUGGUCUGUGAAUUCUAGUAUAUGCUUCAUUUAAUUGGAGUGGCCAGCUUUAAAUUCCUUCCCAUACACACUUCUGGCCUGUGAACUGUUCUCACGUAACAUUUUGACCCAAUAUCCCCCAUCCAAUUUCAAUACUCUUCUAAGAUAUUACUUUAAAUUAGAGCGGCUCACUUAUAUUGACUUUCCAUACACAAACACAUCCUUCUGGCCAUUUUUUUUUUUAACCACCACCCCAACACACAAAAUAAAAUAUCUAUAUCUGCAUUUUCUUUUUAAAACAUUUUACACACAUGAAAAAAAUUUGUGUCCUAGCUUUGAUAGAAAAAAAAAGAUUGUUUUCAUAUAAUGUCUACAAAAACAAGUUUGGUGCCACAUAUUGCCAUUGAAAUUUACUUUCAAAAGUUUUUUUUUUUUAAUGGUGAUUAAAACAGAAAAAAGAAUAAAAUGGUCUUUUUGUUAUAGCAACUUGAAGAUAAAAUUGGGAAUGAAACAUCAUUUUGGGAAGUUUUAAUGGCUGUAGUUUCCAUUUGUGAACUGGCUUAGUUGUUCUAGAGCAGGGGUUCUCAACCUGUGGGUCGCGACCCCCUUGGGUGUCGCCUAAGACCAUCGAAAAUAUGGACUGUUUUUGUCUAUUCUUCUUUUGCUGUGUGUGUGUUGGGGGGGGGUCGCGGCCGAGUGGGGGAUUCUAAAAAGGGGUCACCAAGCUUAAAAGGUUGAGAACCGCUGUUCUAGAGACAAGUUAAGUAAUAACAAGUUAAAUUUGUAUUUUUUUUUAGUUCACCACAAUCGGGGUACCGUAACUAGUGAAUGGUGAGAGAAUCAGUAAGUGCCCUUAGAAUUAUAGUCUAGAUUGUAAUUGUCCUUUUCCAAUGCUGUUAGAUGUGUUAGGAAUUCUUAAGUUUCUGCAUCAAGUGGGUCUAUCAUGAGUUUUUGAGUAUCAUAUUGCUGUGCUACUUUGGUUAUUGUAUAUUUUACUUUUACUCUUUGUCUAAAUUUAGCUUUGGCUACUAGAUGGUCUGCAUCUGUUUCUCUGAAACUUCUUACAUGAAAGACAUCAAAUCUACAUCUUUUACUUAUGAUUAUCCAUAUAUGAUCUAUUUGAUUUUGGUUUUUCCAUCAGGUGAGAUCCAUGUUGCUUUGUACAUUUUCUUAUGCUGGCAUUUAGUGCUACAGAUAGACAUUCCUUUUCCUGAGGCCAAGCCCAGUAAUGUUAGGUCAUUAUUAUUUGCCUCUUCAUAUAAGUUUUCUUUGCGGAUUAUUGGUCUGAAGGCGAAUUCUUUUCCAAUGUUGGCAUUGAAAUCUCCUAGAACUAUUUUGAUGUCCUGCAGUGUUGCCUUGUCAUGAAUUCUUCUAGUCCAUCAUAGAAGGCUUAUUGUGUGAUCAAUGCUUUUUCCUUCAACGUUUAGGGCGUUUAAUUAUAGCCUAAACAUUUUUAAAAAAUUAACUUUAUAUUAUUCAUAUUUGUUUUAGCUUUCCCAACAAUAUUUUUUUUUAUAUGACUGUUGUUAACCCUGCGCACAACCAGAUGAGAAAAGUUCCAGCUUGAUUUAAUUGUGAUCCUUCAGUUGUGAAACUACUAUAUGGAAAUGAAUCCCUGUGCAAUGGCAAUGGUCGAAACUAUAUCUCCUCAGCAGUUUCCCUCUCUCCAAGCAACUGAUCUAGAUCCAAAGGAACAGCAAGUGUCGAUACAAGAUCAGUGGCCUCACAGGCUUUAUACUAUUGUCUUUCUACUUCUGCUGAUGAAUUUCAGAAUUAUGGCCCUUGAAGGCCUGAUUGUUAAUUUGUUUACCAACAUUGCAUUGCACUAUAUAAAAUUAUUUUAUAAGCUUUGGAAGGUGCCUGUUUUCUUCGUAUUCAACUUUUUUUUUUUUGCAUGUUAACUUCGAACAUUUACUUUUUAAAAAUUAAUGUAGCCAUGAUAUCUGGACAGUUAUUUUGUAGGGAUACUGUUUGAGUCACAGCUUUUCUGGAAUGUUACUUGCGAGUUGCAUAAUCAAACUAUCGAUGUGAGGAAAUAAAGUACUAAGGUUAUUACCUGCAUGUAAGGCUUGUUAUUUACCUAAAAUUAGGAUGAACUAUUUAUUAUGAACUAUUUGUUGAGAUUAAAAUUUUGAAACAG